AACGGCAUGAAAUAAAUAGGACGAGCGCAUGCCUGAGGACCAGGGAAAGCCUCUCUGAGCAGAUAACGCUCAUGGUGGGGCUCAUCACGUUGGCCUUCAUCACUCUUUGGGUAAUAAUAAUUCCCGGAGAGAAUCAUGGACACUGGCCCUGCUUCCUUCACACCCAGUCCCAUUGGAGAGACCGACAGUGAACAA
Long non-coding RNA from Lynx canadensis (Canada lynx), 195 nucleotides. RefSeq lists it as uncharacterized. The transcript has 2 exons. The record is from RefSeq and is a predicted model, not a curated record. NCBI's taxonomy places the organism in Eukaryota, Metazoa, Chordata, Mammalia, Carnivora, Felidae.